This 253-nucleotide ribosomal RNA is filed under the name uncultured bacterium. RNAcentral describes it as "partial 16S ribosomal RNA". It matches the Rfam family "Bacterial small subunit ribosomal RNA", at positions 524 to 776 of the family's 1533-position model. The record is from RNAcentral.
UACGUAGGGUGCAAGCGUUGUCCGGAAUUAUUGGGCGUAAAGAGCUCGUAGGCGGCCUGUCGCGUCGGCUGUGAAAACCCGGGGCUCAACCCCGGGCCUGCAGUCGAUACGGGCAGGCUAGAGUUCGGCAGGGGAGACUGGAAUUCCUGGUGUAGCGGUGAAAUGCGCAGAUAUCAGGAAGAACACCCGUGGCGAAAGCGGCUCUCUGGAACGGUACUGACGCUGAGACGCGAAAGCGUGGGGAGCGAACAGG